Molecule: RNase P RNA, 191 nt
Filed under: Vibrio parahaemolyticus
Lineage: Bacteria; Pseudomonadati; Pseudomonadota; Gammaproteobacteria; Vibrionales; Vibrionaceae
Description: partial RNase P RNA component class B
Rfam family: Bacterial RNase P class B
About the family: Ribonuclease P (RNase P) is a ubiquitous endoribonuclease, found in archaea, bacteria and eukarya as well as chloroplasts and mitochondria. Its best characterised activity is the generation of mature 5'-ends of tRNAs by cleaving the 5'-leader elements of precursor-tRNAs. Cellular RNase Ps are ribonucleoproteins.
Source: RNAcentral
AGUGACGAAACGAUCAGGGAAACCUGAGCGGUGGAACGGGUAAACCCCGCGAGCGAGUAACCCAAACUUUUGGUAGGGGCGUUUUGCCAAGCAAAUUGAAGCGACGGCAAUACAGCGGUAACGCUGAGAUAGAUGAUGACUGAAGGAGCUUGUGCCUGAACAAGUUCUGGAACAAAACAUGGCUUAUAGGG